RNAcentral lists this long non-coding RNA (351 nucleotides) under Phaseolus vulgaris (common bean). RNAcentral's name for it is "long non-coding RNA (PVUL_LNC003193)". Lineage: Eukaryota; Viridiplantae; Streptophyta; Magnoliopsida; Fabales; Fabaceae. The record is from RNAcentral.
GACUAUGGUUGUGAUUAAUAUGAUUUAUCAUUAUUAUUAUAUUAUGUAAUUGUAAGGGGAUAAGACACUAUCGGUUAUCAGUUGGAUAAUUAAUUCUUCUUGUUCGGUCGUAUUUUUCUUCUCACGUGUAGGCUUCGAAUCUCGCGGUCUGGUGUGCACCUGCAAAAAGUUUUUUGAUGCGUAAGUGAGUAUUCUAUAUUUGGAUGUUGUUAUGUACUUAUUUAUACCGUUGUAAUCAGCUUUAUCAUUAAUAAGUUGUAUAACUCAAACUAAUCGUGUAUUCCUUUUUACCUUGAUGUAUUCACAUUAGUCAUUCGAGCAACAUCCGAUAUGGAGGGUUAUAAGAUCAAG